AUGCGACAAACGAAACAGCUGUACUCACAAAACAAAACACUUUUUAUAGUCGCAACCAGCAUAAUUUACAAAUAGCACAACAGGGCCAUUAGAUUCUGGGAGUACGACGCAUGGAGGCAUGUAGCUCGCCAAAGAUACUAAUACAGGAGCUAGUUGUAAACUUGUAUGUAAAGAUUGUAUGGUAAUACAGUUGCAUGGAGGGCUAAUAUGUAAUGGCUAGCAAGUGAGACUAGUUAUCAAAAUUGCAGUUCAAGCCAUGGCACUUUAUUUCUUGCCAUCUUAAUGCUCAUAUGCAUCCAGGUAUGAACAAGCAUGUUGCACUUGUAACCAGAUUGACCAUAUGAAUCACAGCACCGCCAACACUGCAUAUACUUUGACUUAAAACAGGCAUCAGUAGAGAGAAGGACGGCCAUAUGAAGAAGCUAGUGUAUCUGAUACACUUAGUGAUCCGCGUUGGAGAUGCCCCUGUUCUACAUUUCAUCAUUCAAAUGGUUGCUCACAGAAAGCAAGCCGUCCCGAUUUGCAUGCUUCCACCUAGUCACACAAAACCCUAACCCUAACACACACCAUAAAAACAAGCAAUGGUAUCUGAUCUCAGUACACAUCUGAAUGAGCCUUACUCAUCAUUUCCAUCAAUAGCACUUUGCUUCAAUCCCACAAAAAAGAAUAGAGGGAAACCAGUUGUCAAAGAACAAAAUAUGACCAGAAACCACGCAAGAAUCAGUGAAAGCAGAAAGAAUUACUAUAUCGGAAUCAAAUCAUGAUCUGGUGGACACAAAAAAGGGUACAUGUAUCAGUAAAAGGCUCAGAUGCUUAUAUCUCCAUCUCGACACCAUACAUGAACUUCUGCUAAAAUGACCAUGAACAUCUUAUAUUUGUGGACGGAGGGAGUAAUAGUUGGCCGCUGAACUGGUUACUUGCUGUGACACAAGCCAUCCUAGUUUAGCACCAAGUGAAUCAAUUCAGGUGUUAGAUAGAAGCUCUUGCAGGGAAGUUAUAUCAUCACAGCCAUUCAUGAACAUGACACAAAGGAAACAGUAAUCUUAACUUGCCCUAUACAACCCUUAAGUUGAAACCACUAAAGAACUAACAAGAAACCAAAAGUACAACUGAUAAGUAGAUAAAAGAGUACAGCAGAAGAACGAAAUUAUGAAGUAGCAAUUGAAACAAGCAAACUGCCCCAACAGUAAUUAAGAUAGUCUUAAGAACUAUCCAAGGGACAGCAGAAUUAUCAUAACCAUUCAAGAAAAAGGAAGAACAGAAGACAACAAUAAGUGCGGCUAGAGUACUGUUCCUAAAACAACAGAACUGGUUGACAUACUGCAAAACCAACAAAAUGUGUAGGAAAAAUAGAAUAGUCGAAGAUCCCUUUGCGCAUGCAACAGAUAGGGCUGCAAGAAAAGCUCGAGGCUCGUGAGCCGCUCGAGAUCGACUUGUUUUUUGACUCGACUUGAGAUCAACUCGAAAAUAAACAAGCAGAGUUUGAACACUUUAUGUAGCUCGACCAAGAAACGAGCCGAUCUUGAGCCAAUAUUGGCUCGUUCGAUUUUAGCUCGAUAGCUCGACAGAAUAUCAUUAUGUUAAAUGAUCAUGCCAUAUAUUAAACGAAAAUAAGAUAAUUUAUUACCAUAUAUUUUGUCCAUAAUUUUUCUCCAUUUUAUAUUUACCAACGAACAUGGAAACUUAAUUAAGUUCAGAGGAGAUUUAGGCCUAAUUAUUGCACGUGGUCGACUAUGUGUUAAAUACCCUAUAUUUUUGGCAAAGGUUCCCAGCAUAUUCACCUUAAAUUUUUUUGGUUUUAAUCUAUAGAUUUAUAAUUUCUAUCAUCUCAUUUAGCUCGAAACUAGCUCGAGAUCGACUCGAGAUCGUUACAAGCUGAGCACGAGUCAUGUUCUACAGCUCGAUCAUGAGCUUCACUUAGUUUGAGCUCGCUCGAAUUUUCAUACGAGUUGAGCUAAGCCAACUCCAACUCGCUCGAGCUCGACUCGUUUGCAUCCCUAGCAACAGAUAAGGGUGGAAAAUAGGUCGGGUCAGAUACAAAACAUAUGCAGCUAAGCACAGUAUCAGCAGCUGGAGGGCGAUUAGAGCUCAGAAGAGAGAAGAGGUGGUAAUUAAGAUUUAAGUGCCUCUUUGGAACGCAAGUAUCGUUCAAUAUGUAUUCCCUCCACAUUCAGUAAGAGUUCAGGCGGAGAGGGAUUCAGACUUCCCAGACACAGCAGCUCAGGUCCAAAAGGCGGAACUGAAUCGUGAAAAAUCCAUCAGAGUAGCUCAGAUCUCGUUGAGCACACCCAACUUCCCAGCCACCAGAGGCCACAGGACUACUCCGCCCCAUGAUCCACACCGCAAACCGCCAGCCCCUGAUGUUUCAGCUGUGCCGGCUGCCCGAGAAGGGCCUCCCAAGCCGAUGCAUUAGUGCAGAGGGCGCGACAGGAGGGGUGGCCCCAUGAAGCAAAGGUCUGAGGCCGGGGGAGACGGCAGGCUUCACCACCUUCAUCAUUCCUCAUCGCUGCCUCUCUAUCACAGGUGAAGCUUUAUAAGGACAUAGGGAUGGCAAGCAUCGAUGGUGGAAGUUAAGGAGGACUACAAUGGCAAAUAUCAAUAGAAAAAUUGACAAUGGAUGCAAAAAUAGGACCAAAAAACUGAAAAAUAGCAUCAAUAAAUCUGCUUUUAAAUUGGUUUGAUAAAAAGAUUUGACACCAUCUCACCUUCCCAGAAGGUCCACAUAAAGAAACAGAGCCAUAAUAACAAAGAACCAAAGCCGUAGGUAAUGCCAGGUUUCUUUUUCAAGGUACAGGCCAACAAUGUACAUAAUAUAUACAACUUAAUUUUCACAGUGAGCCCACGACCAUUCACAGUUGCCAAACAGGUAUUCUUAAAAUCAAGAAGAAACAAAGAAAAGUUUUUGGGAAAAUCAAACUGUUUUCUGGAGUAUAUUCCAAAAGUACUCACUGAUCAAAUUAAUAUAAUCAAACAGUAGAAGCAUCAGACACAGGUGUCAUAACAAAUACAUGCACGAGGAAUAGUUCACAAAAUCCAGGAAACAAAAUCCAGGAAAAUUGUGGAGUAUUACUUGAAUGGCUCAGAUUUAACCCACCAUAAAUCACCAAAGUUGGAAAAUGCUUCAGGUAGUACUCGAAGCCUUUCGGUACCAAACAACAACAACAACAAAGCCUUUCAGUCCCAAACAAGUUGGGGUAGGCACGUGGAUACCUAAUUUCCAUGCACCCCUGCCCAUGGCUAGUUCUUGGUGAUAUUCCAGUCCUUCAGGUCUCACCUUACCAUCUCUCUCUCUCUUUCCCCGCCCAGCAACAAAUAGCCGCAACUGGUAACUUGCUGCAAAGCAAGGCCUCCUAGUAUUACGACUGACUGUCUAACUGGGCAAAGUUGAAUGGAACCAAUCAUCUCUAUCUCAGGAUAUGUUGAAAGAUCUCCAACACCAAAGAGGAGGAAAUCAUCAUAGCCAUUCAGAAAAGAAUAGAACUCAUCAGCACACAACAGAAACAAAUAUGCUGUGUUCGGAAGUUGAUUUGGAACACUAUGCUGAUGGCCGUAUUACUAGAAAUGAAAGAAGCAAUUUACAUUUGUUCACUUCAGAUAAAAGGAGUAACUGCCAGAAAAAAAAAAACAGGACAAUACAAAUUUUCCAUUUUGGAAAAGAAAAACAUAAGGUAGAAAUCCAAGUCAAAAACAAUAGUGUGUUCGACAUAUAUAGUUUGUACAACUAUACAGGCAAAAAAUAAGCCAGCUAGAAAUCAAUCCAAGCUAGGGCGGUUGGCUUCAUCACCAAGAGAAGACAUCAAUCCAAGUCCAGAUGGGCCGUUACCCACAUCAACACAAUAGAGAGGAAUAAAAAAGAAAAAACAGUGCAUAGUAGAGAAGGUAAAAUCGAAUAUUUGUAGCGUAGCAAAAGAGGGCUCAGUUUUGCCUUUCAUCUUCAAGCCCAACACUCGCAUCUCUUGCUGCAUAAUCUACCCAUCACGAUGUAAAAGAACUGCCCUGGUUAUCAUUCAUCAGAAUGACCGUCCAAGUAGCAGAACAUCCAACAUUAGCGAUGAAUUGAACAGGCUGCAAGAGAGGUAAGGGUGUGCUCUAAUUUAGUACCCAUAGGCCACAGCUCUUAAUUGCUCAAGACAGGCUUAUUUCAGCCACGGUCAUCAUCAUUGCCCCUGGUAAGGACUCCAUCUCUUCAUCACACAGUAGCAUGCAUACAUCAUCCAUCCAUCCAUCCAUCAGGCUGGUCGUAGUGGUAAGUAACUUGUCGCAUCCAUGAUAUCCAUUACAGGCAUGCACACAUCCAUCCAUCCAUCCUCUUUAAUUACUUGUCACAUGAUCUUUUUUGCCUAUGUGGCAUGCAUGUUACUACUCCCUCCGUUCCAUAAUUACUGUUGUGGUUUUAGUUCAAAUAGUUCAAUUUGAACUAAAACCUAAGUUACUCCCACUAUGACUAGUCUCAGUCUCAGGAGCUGCUCGUACCUGGCCUCGACCGCCCAGUGUGGACGACGCAUCAGAUAAUGCCUUACGGUUCCCAGCCCACACCACAACCAAAUCCAAGGCAAUGAAAUGGCAGUGGCUGGCAGCACCGUAGAGACGGGGAACUGACGUGGCAGCCACCCGGACAAUGGGGUAGCAAGUCGGCAAUGAGAGCUUUGCUGAUUUGUUUAGGGCUUGAGAGAGAGAGAGAGAGAGAGAGAGAAAGGUGAGGAGGAUUCAUACCGAAUCCAAAACAAAAUGCAACUGAACUGAGCAAAAGAGGGCUCAGUUUUGCAUUUCAUCUUCAAACCAACACUCACACCUCUUGCUGCAUAAUCUAUCCAUCGCAGUGUAAGAGAACUGCCCUGGUUAUCACUCAUCAGAACGACCAUCCAAGGCACAGAACAUCCAACAUCCGCGAUGAAUUGGACAGGCUGCAAGAGAGGCAAGGGUGGGCUAAAGAGUAACUCCAACGCAGAUACCAAUUUUCUUGCACUGUUUAGUCCCACCUCGCCAAGGCUGUCUUGAUUGCUCAAGACAUGAUUAUUUCAGCCACAGUCAUCAUCAUCGGCAUCGCCCCUAGCAACAUAACCAUGAAUCCAUACAUAUAUGCAUGCAUACAUCCAUCUAUCCAUCCAUCCUGCUCAGGAGUUGCUCAUACCUGGCCUCGACCGACCAAAACUCCGGCUCCGACGACGCAUCAGAAGACACCGUACGGUUCCCAGCCGACGGGCACAACCAAAUCCAAGGCAAUGGGACGGCGGUGGCAGGCAGCACCGUAGCGGUGGGGAACUGAACUGACGCGGCGUACAUCCGGACGAUAGGUCAGUCAGCGAUCCGGCAACAAGAGCUCGCCUGAUUUGUUUUAAAAAUAUACUCCCUCCGUUCGGAUCAAGUGUCGUGGUUUUAGUUCACGACACAUGAAUGCAUCCAUUCAUCCAUCCUUCUCAGGAGCUGCUCAUACCUGGCCUCGACCGACCAAACCUCCCGCACGGACGACGCAUCAGACGUCAUCCUACGGCCCCCAGCCCACGCCACAACCGAAUCCAAGCCAAUGGAAUGGCGGUGGCUGGCCGCACCGUAGCAGCGCUGGGUCAGCGAUCCGGCAACGAGAGCUUGGCUGAUUCGGUUUAGGAUUUACUGGUGUGAACUCUAAGCGCGCGCGCGCACAGAGUGAGCGAGUGUGUGAGAGUCUGAGAGAGAGAGAGAGAGAGAUGGGGGGACCGUACCGGAUCCAAAGCAAAACGCAGCCAAGCUGCGAGAAAUCCAUCGACGGCGGCUCAGAUCCCGCGCCGGCCCGACCAAGCCCUCGACCGCAGCGCGCCAUGGGCCCCGCCGCUCGGUCCCCAGCCCGCACGGCCGCAGACGCCUCCCGCAUCCAUCCAUCCUCUUUAAUUACUUGCCAGUCAUUUUUGCCUAUGUGUCAUGAAUGUUACUACUCCCUCUGUUCCAUAAUUCAGUUACUCCCACUAUGACUAGUCUCAGUCUCAGGAGCUGCCCAUACCUGGCCUCGACCGACCAAACAUCCUGGUGUGGACGACUCAUCAGACAACGCCUUACGGGACCCAGCCCACGCCACAACCAAAUCCAAGGCAAUGGAAUGGCAGUGGCUGGCAGCACCGUAGAGACAGGGAACUGACGUGGCAACCACCGGGACGAUGGGUCAGCGAGUCGGCAAUGAGAGCUUGACUGAUUUGUUUUAGGGGUUGAGAGAGAGAGAGGUGAGGAGGAUUCAUACCGAAUCCAAGACAAAAUGCAACUGAACCGAGCAUAUGUAGCGUAGCAAAACAAGGCUCAGUUUUGCAUUUCAUCUUCAAACCCAACACUCACAUCUCUUGCUGCAUAAUCCACCCAUUGCCAUGUAAGAGAACUGCCCUGGUUAUCACUCAUCAGAAUGACCAUCCAAGGCAAAGAACAUCCAACAUUGGCAAUGAAUUUGACAGGCUGCAAGAGAGGCAAGGGUGGGCUCUAAGGCCAACUCCUUUUUUCUGGCACUGUUUAGUCCCACCUCGCCGAGCUGUCUUGAUUGCUCAAGACAUGAUUAUUUCAACCAGUCAUCAUCAUCGGCAUCGCCCCUCCUUUUUUUCCAAAAAGGAGGUUGAACCCCCGAGCAACAUGACCAUGAUAUCCAUACAUAUAUGCAUGCAUACAUCCAUCUAUCCAUCCAUCCUGCUCAGGAGUUGCUCAUACCUGGCCUAGACCGACCAAAACUCCGGCUCCAACGACGCAUCAGACAACACCGUAAGGUUCCCAGCCCAUACGCACAACCGAAUCCAAGGCAAUUGGACGGCGGUGGUAGCGGUGGGGAACUGACGCGGCGGACAUCCGGAAAAUAGGUCAGCAAUCCGGCAACGAGAGCUCGCCUGAUUUGUUUUAAAAAUAUAAUCCGGCAACGACACAUGAAUGCAUCCAUUCAUCCAUCCUUGUCAGGAGCUGCUCAUACCUGGCCUCGACCGACCAAACCUCCCGCAUCAGACAUCAUCCUACGGCUCCCAGCCCACGCCACAACCGAAUCCAAGGCAAUGGAAUGGCGGUGGCUGGCGGCACCGUAGCAGCGCUGGGGAACUGAGGCGGCAACGAGAGCUCGGCUGAUUCGGUUUAGGAUUUACUGGUGUGAACUCUAGGCGCGCGCGCGCACAGAGUGAGCGAGUGUGUGUGAGAGUCUGAGAGAGAGAGAGAGAGAGAGAGAGAGAGAGAGAGAGUGAGAGAGAGAGGGAGAUGGGGGGACCGUACCGGAUCCAAAGCGAAACGCAGCCAAGCUGCGAGAAAUCCAUCGACGGCGGCUCAGAUCCCGCGCCGGCCAGACCAGGCCCUUGACCGGAGCACCGCUCGGUCCCCAGCCCGCACGGCCGCGGACGCCCCCCGCAUCGGCGGCAGCCCCGAGGGGCCUCCAAGCCGAUGCGCGACGGCGCGGCGAGGGGGGCUGGCCCCGAGGAGCGGCGGCCCGGCGCGACCGCCGCCCGGAGCCUGGCCGUCGCCGGCGGCUCCCUCCAUCAUCGCCGCCGUCCGGGGAGGGAAGCGGUCAUCGGCCACGGCGAGAGGGGCGGGCACGGCGGCAGGAUUCGGUCAGACAUGGUUAGAGCGCUCGCAUUGCAUGCUCCGCCGCCGGUGGCCUCUCGCACCAGGACUGGUCCGAGCCAGAUCCGGGAAUGGAUGGAGGGGAAGGGGAAUGAGAGCGGGGGUGCAGAUGAGGGGAGGGAAGAAGCCACCUUCAGCCGUUGCUUGGGGGAGGACACACGGAGUGCCGACUAGCGCACUAGAGUUAGACCCAGUGAACGUGUCCUCUUGUGUGCAUUUUCUCGGGGUCUCUUCUCAACCAAACAUAAAAAAAUACUCAUAUGAAUCUCGGCGUAAAAUCAAUGACAAAGAUACAUUUGAUGUGCAAUGCUUAAGAUAGACUUAGACGUUGUUUAGCAAAACAGUUUUCUCAGGUCGUCGCGGUUAAGACAUUGUUUAACUUAGGCCAACCUCAACGCCGGCGCCCCAACGGACGCGGAUGUUGUCCUUUUUUUUAUGUUUGGAUUGGCUAGGCAAACGCUCAAUGUCUGAUUUUUUUUUCCGCCGGACCAUAGAUCAGCCCAACGCGGACGGAGAGAUUUCGGAAUUAUAAAAAAUAAAAACAACAAAUAAAAUAAUAAAAUAGCCACCAACAGUCCAGUUUACAUUAAAUAAAAAUAUUGAAAAUGAAAACAUGCGUGCGGUGGCGACGGCGGCGUCCUUCUCGGUCAAGUCGACAUACACCGGUGCAUCGAUCCACGGAAAGCCGCCUAGGAGGCUGCCAGUGCCGCGCUGCAUCUGUCGCCGCCUGCUGGACCGGCUGAGUGUCGUGCACCCGUGUGCCGCCUGCCGCUUGGCUGCCAAGGCGCAUGUCUCGGCCUCGUACAGGUGUCGUUGCUUCUCCUCUUCAUCGCGCACAGCCAAACAGGCGUGCACGACGUAGAAGGGCACCAUGCUCGCCCAUGAAAUCGAACGCCACAACACUCCAUGAGCACAGGCGAUGCUUGUGGGUGUGGCCACGGGGAAAAUAUCUGGUAUUCCCACACCUAGGGUGCUCCCGGUGCUUCAAAACUCUAUAGCACGUUUCUAAAUGUUCGAAAAAAUCUGAAAAAAAAUCUAGCACAUUGACGCAACAUCAAAGUAUGUUGUCAAAAAAUUUGAAAUCAAAAUUCAAAACAUAGCUUGAGAAACAUAAAUGACAAAUUCGACAGUAAAUAGUAUGCAACUUAAGUUGGGCUUUAGAGUAGGCCCAUUACCACAUUGAUGUCUAUUUUGUCAUUUUUGUAUCUCGAGCAAUGUUUCGAAAUUUGAUUUGAUUUUUCUUAACAACAUACAUUGAUGUUGUGUCAAUGUGCUAGUUUUUUUCAGAAUUUUUUUAACACUUUAAAAUGUGCUACCGAGUUUGGAGCACCGGGAGCACCCUAGGGAUGGGAGUACUACAUAUUUCCCCUGUGGCCACGGCGCGUUAGUCUCCACGCCCGUUGUUUAAGUAAUUAAUGUUGAACCUUAUACUCCCACUAUUCCUUAAUAUAGUGCAUAUAUAUUAUCUUAAAAGUUUACAGAGAAUAGAAUACUUUAUAUAAUGAGAUGGACAAUUUCAUAUUGUAUGUAUGUGAUAUUGUAGCUAUAGAUAAUUUCGCCCAUAAAUUUGGUCAGACUUGACUCCUAAAAUAAUUUGUAUACACUACACUAUGAAACGGAGAAGUAUUAAGCCUAACACCUUACAAACUCAGAGCACUUCUACCAUCGAUCAGGACAAAGCCCACUUCAAAGUUAUUGAUCCUAGGCUCCAUGAUCAGCGGGCAUCGUUGUGGCUCGAUGAGAAUUUUGGGGGCCAUUGCUUUGGUUGAAGAUGGUGAUUUACACCUUCCACAAGGACCGGACAUGAAGCACGAGAUGUGAUGUGUUCUCAUGCUAAUACUUUCGCUUUAUGUAUUUUCAACUUGUCUCACUCACUCUCAUCGGUGUUAUUAAGCCAACCAUUUCAUCUCAAGACUCAAUCUACAUGUGCCUAUCAUGUACCCCAACAAACGAGCAUAAAACCCCACUGAACCAGCCUAGACAAAGAUUACACCAACGAGCGACGAGUCGGCCCACUGCAUGAAAUGCAGAAGAAGAGAACUGGUUUGGUGGGGGUAUGCCCAGAUUUGGGAGCAUACUCCAACCAUGGAAAUACCAGAUUUGGUCUAGAUGCGUACAAGAUUAAUAGAUGGGCAGCGGAGCACAACACAAAGAAAAUUGGUGGACCAAUAUGUCAAGGCCCAAUACUGCAAACCGGAAGGCCAUGGCUUCAUGAACAAUGCUCGUCUCUUCGGCUAUUUGGAACUGAGAGAAAUUCUAGUGUUUAGGAAGAAAUCCACUAACAUUGUCAUGCUCAUCCACCUCUUCCACAUUCUCAAGCUCAUCCAGGACGAGUCAAGGCUUUUUGAUCACGGCGGGAGGUAGGCAUCUGAGCAUCAUCAUGCCACACAUUUUUGUGUUGGUAGGUGUAUACUAUCUCUAUUGGGCUAUGAUGUGGAGCCAAAAUGUACUUUGAACACCCCUCUCUCCCUCUCUAAUUAAGAAUGAGGCAAAUCUUUUGCCUUGGUUUUAAAAAUAAUAAUUAUUUCCUGGGCAUUAUCUAUGUGUGUAUAGCAACAAUGAACAUGUAUAUGGUGAGAAAAUAGUCAAGAAUAUCAACAUAAGCAAAAUCCAGGGACAGCUGUAGUUAUCGCAAAGAGAAAUACACCCUGUGUACUAAAUGUAAGACGUUAAUAGGCCAUUAAAUUCUAGCUCUGCCUAAGCCGGCAAUCUGGCCCAUGCAUAAAGCCAAGCCACUAAUCCGGCCCAUGCAUAAAGCCAAGCCACUAAUCCGGCCCAUGCAUAAAGCCAAGCCACUGACAUUAGCUAUCAAAAUUUCAUUCCAAGCCAUGACAAUUAAUAUUCUCACCAUCUUAAUGCUCAUAUGCACUCACACUCGCAUCCAAAUGUGACAAGCAUGUUACCAGAUUGACCAUACAAAUUACAGCACCACCAACACUUGUAUAUAUUGACUUGAACAGGCAUCAGUACAGAGAAGGGCGAACAUACAAAAAAGCUUCAUUACUGCUCCAAGGCAUACUUAUUAUUACCUUACCAGAAAGCAUCAUCAGAACUCAUCAGGCUUGAAGUAUUUCAUGGCGGUACAUCAUACUCUUGUAGCUUGUGAUUAUCUAAUAUCAAGAUCUCUAGGCGGCCAAUUUUAUUCCUAUACGUUUCAUGAAAAUUAUGUCGUUAAAGUAGUAUUUCAAAAGUUGCCCACUGAAGGAAUUAACCACAUAGGAGAUCAAGAUGUAGAGUACACUGAAGUUCAAAUCACAUAUUACUGGAAAUAUCAACAGUGCAUAGAAAGAGGGCAACAAACAAGAGGCAAACGUAGAAAUAGGGGAGGAGUGGUGCGGAUUAGGCUGCAACCCUGUGGGCCCUGGGAGUAAGCAUGUAGGCACGCCAAUAUCCAACACAUUCAUAUGGGCAAAACCCACUCUAUAUCCGAUACACUUGGUGAUCUGCAUUGCAGAUGCCCUUACACCCCCGUGUGACACACUAGUAGGAAAAGGGGCUUUUACCCCGGUUCAUAAGGGCCUUUAGUCCCGGUUCAGGAACCGGGACUAAAGGGUCGUUACUAAUGCCCUAGCCCUUUAGUCCCGGUUCUUACACGAACCGGGACUAAAGGCCGUCCACGUGGCCGGUGCGGGGAGCCCAGGCAGGAGGGCCUUUGGUCCCGGUUGGUGCCACCAACCGGGACCAAUAGGCAUCCACGCGUCAGCACCUGGNNNNNNNNNNNNNNNNNNNNNNNNNNNNNNNNNNNNNNNNNNNNNNNNNNNNNNNNNNNNNNNNNNNNNNNNNNNNNNNNNNNNNNNNNNNNNNNNNNNNNNNNNNNNNNNNNNNNNNNNNNNNNNNNNNNNNNNNNNNNNNNNNNNNNNNNNNNNNNNNNNNNNNNNNNNNNNNNNNNNNNNNNNNNNNNNNNNNNNNNNNNNNNNNNNNNNNNNNNNNNNNNNNNNNNNNNNNNNNNNNNNNNNNNNNNNNNNNNNNNNNNNNNNNNNNNNNNNNNNNNNNNNNNNNNNNNNNNNNNNNNNNNNNNNNNNNNNNNNNNNNNNNNNNNNGGGGGGUUUGGGGGUUUUGGGGGGUUAAUUUAGGUUGUUAUUAGGUAGCUAUUAGAGAGAAGUGUCCUCUCUUAUAUCUCCGUGCUUGGUUUACCAACGCUACGUACUGCUAUGCCUAAACAUGGCUUAGAUUGAAGUGAAGGCAACAUGUGGUGCAUGUCGAAAGUAAUACUAAUCCGGACUUGAUCAAGUUUGGAUUGUACUACUUUCGACACGCACCACAUGCAUGUUGCCUUCACUUCAAUUCAAUCCAUGUUCAUUUCACCCGCUGAUAUAUAAUAACUCUUCAUGCACGCAUCAUGCAUCAUCAUAUAUAAUAACAAGUCCUACUAAUCAUCAUCAUACAACUUCUACUCGUUAUUAAUAACAAGUCAUACGAUCGAUCAUCAUCCUCACAGUCAUCGAACCAACCCUACUUAAUUGUUCUUAGCACAUGAUCAUCAGUAUUAGGUAGGACCGAAAUACCCUCUUUAAGGUAAAAUAGCAUAAAACAAUAUAGACCCUGACUCUCCAUUAUGGAGAAUGGAGAUCAUCCUGUCUCCAAUUCUUGCGCCUCGCUUCCUUUUGCUUCCAAGAAGCUCCUUGCGACUGUCCAUACAUUUUUUCCAUUCUUUGAUUUGCAUGUCUCCACUUCUUUUAGAAAUCCGGUAUGUACAGUUGAGAUUCGUAGGAUGACCUAGUUGUAUAUUCAAAACAUCAAGCCUACCAUUCUGAUACAUCAAAUGAGGCACACAAUCCUCUGGGAUUAUCUGUUGAAAAACAUAGUAAUAACUUCAUAGUUAGCAAUGAUAAUGCACUAGUUUUAGAACUAUGCAAAAUAUGCACGGAUGUCGUAAUAGUAAGAAAUCUUACCAGGGUAUCUCCAUAGUAGUUACCGUAGUUCACCACGUGCACUAGUGGCAGGUAUGGAGGACCAUAAUGAUGAGGAGUUUGAUUGUAGAUAUUGUAAUUCUCAAUAUCAGUACAAAAUCCGACCAGAUGAGUUUUCUCCUUAUAAGUUAACUCAGAGCCAUCGGUGUAAUAGGUUCUGUCUACCAUGUUCCGCACAUUGUUUGAACAAUAAAAAUAAGCUGUCAAUGAAAAUAAGCUGUCAACUAUUUUGAAAUGAACAAUAUAAAUUAGCUAAUAACUAUGUUUGAGAAACUCACAUAGCGGUAGAAUUGGAGGCGUAUCAACAAGGACCCAAAUGUCCAUAUUGUCUUGCUCGAUGUCAGGAUCACCAAGAUCCAUGGUGACAAGCAUACCCUCAUCAAAACCAUACAUCUUGCAAAAUGCUUCCCAAUUUUUGCAACCAAAAUGGGUUACGCUCUCAGAAUUAUACAACUUUACUUCAAAAUCUAUAUCAUGAUGGGUCCUUAGGUGAAUUUUCUUUGUUUCCAUACUUUCAUGGUCUUCAAAACCCAUCCUCUCCAAGACGUAGCGUCUUGCAUGGCAUGGGAUAAGCUAGCCGAAUUGUAAAAGAUGAAAAGUACACGUUGAAAUAGUUGAAGUCGUGCUUAAUUACGAAAAAAUAACACUUGUCGUCGUUGCGUACCGUUUCAACAUCGAACGCCUCCUCCAGCUUAAUACUGAAGCGCCGAUCUUCGUCCAGGUGAGGCCUGUCGCACUGACCUCGGUCGUCGUGGCACCAGUCGCACUCCCCCGGGAGACUUUCGUCGUCCGAGUACGACAUUUCCUAUGUUCAUAUAUAAUUCAAAUAGUAAACAUCUACAAUUAAAUAUAUGUACUAAAAAACCUAAGUUAGAUCAUUAUUAUUCAUCACGGGUUGACUAUCGGUUUGUCGAGUCUUUUCUUGAAAACUCUCAGCUCACGUGGUGUAUACAUUCGACCGUUGGUGAUGGUCGCUCCUCCCUUUGUCCCCGUGUGCAUUACACCAAAAUGUCUAGCUAGCACACGGGAACAAAGGAGAAGCGACCCCCACGACAACAGUCGGGAUUCUUCGUCCUCUCAUAUAUAUAUAUGGUGGAACUCUCCCUCACUGAUUCCUCUCUGACAUUUGCGACCGUCGGUGAUGGUAGCUCCUCCUUUCGUUCUCGAGUGCAUUACACCAAAUUGUCUAGCACACGGGAACGAAGGAGAAGCUACCCCCACGACAACACAGUCGGGAUUCUUCGUCCUCUCAUAUAUGGUGGAGACUCGAUAGACUUACAGUCAACCCGAAAUAUCGUUUAAUUAUCUUUCUAAAAGAGGAUUUGGCUGGUCUCACCUCGAUGUCGGAGGGGGCGGUGACGGGGACGACGGCGGGGAUGAUGGAGGGGCCGGGGGGCUCCUAGAUUUCUGCGAAAACAAAAACCCUAUAAGCUAUCAACUAAUCAUAGUGCUCUCCAAUUUUAGCAUUCAAAGUAGGAUCGGAGUAGUUUUCCACUUUGAGCAUUCAAUAAGCAAAAUCAAAUCACAAAAUAAAGUAGUAUUCAAAUUAGGAUGCAUCCAAUUAUAAGCAAAACUACAUCAUCUCCAUGCGUCCGUACAUCGCUGAAUAUUAUCACUAAUACACCUCGAAUACUAUCAUACAUAUAGCAUCGCUAGUACAGCUAGAAUAGUAGCGCCCGACGGACAUCGGCGCGGGCGGUGGACACCCAAAGGGACGGAACCAUCACAGGAUCAUAGCUCCAGUGAGAUCCCUGAAGAACCUGCCAGGUACUGUCGAACCUGCCCUCCAACGCAACCAUGUAGCGACGGACGUGCUGGUCCUCCUCGCUGACACGGUGACGUACCUCCUCCGCGGUGUCCGGAAGCCUCGGCACCGUCACUGGCCCACGCGAGCGCCACCAAACAAGGAUCGGGUCAACGACGGGCUGGUUCCUCACCAACCUACGCCCACCGGAAGGUAGCACCUCCCAAAACCAGCCCGGCGGAGCCCAGUCCCGGACAUGGCCCCUCUGAUCAAGCCGGCCUCCUCCGCCGAGUCCACGACGAGGAUGCGGGAUAGGCAUCGUCGACGUCGAUGCGGGAAUAAUUGCUUUAACUAAAAAAACAAACUAGUUCUAUUAAUUUCCUUACUAUAAAUAGAAUAAAGUAAUACUUACUAAAAAUAAACUAGCUAGUUUAACUAGUUCUAUUAUUUUUCUAACUAAUUCUAUUAAACACUUUCUAGGUAGUACUUACUAAAAGUUAUCGGGGAGGGGGGUACAUAUAUCGACAACGACAUACCCGAUAAAAAAUAAGAAGAGGAAGAAAACGAAAAAAAGAGGAGAAGAAGAAAGGAAUAGAGGAGGAGAUCGAAGAAAAAAAAGAAAAAAAGAGGAGAAGAAGAAGGAAUAGAGGAGAAGAAGAAGAAAUAGANNNNNNNNNNNNNNNNNNNNNNNNNNNNNNNNNNNNNNNNNNNNNNNNNNNNNNNNNNNNNNNNNNNNNNNNNNNNNNNNNNNNNNNNNNNNNNNNNNNNNNNNNNNNNNNNNNNNNNNNNNNNNNNNNNNNNNNNNNNNNNNNCUUCUUCUCUUCUUCUCUUCUUCUUCUCCUUCUUAUUUUCCUUUUUUCUCUCCUUCUUUUUCUUCUAAAUAUGAACAUACAUAAAUGACUUUGAUCAUACACAAUUUCUAUGAACAAAAAAAAUCAUAAAAAUUCUAUGAACAAAAUUACAACAGAAAAAAUCAUAAAAAUUCUAUGAAAAAAUUGAUAUAUUCUUUGCAUAUGAACAUACAAACAUUUGCAUAUUCAAUAAUAAUAUCACCAAAAAAAUCUAAACUACACAUCUAAAUUACAACAACUAAAUUAUCUAAUUAACUACACAUCCAAAUUAAUACAACUAAAUUACAAAUCUAACUACACAUCCAAAUUAAUACUACACAUACAAAUCUAAUUACACAACUAAAUCUAACUACACAUCCAAAUUAAUACUACACAUACAAAUCUAAUUACAUCUAAAUUAAUACUACACAUACAAAUCUAAUUACAACAAUCUAAUUACAAAUCUAACUACACAUCCAUUACAGGGAGGAGGAGGAGGGGAUCGGGGCGGCGCUCACAGGGUGGCGGAGGGCGACGGCGACCGCGGCGGGCCGGGGGCGUAGGGCGGUGACGGUGACGUACGGGGCGACGGCUCGGGGGCGCGCGGCGGAUGCCGACGGCGACGGNNNNNNNNNNNNNNNNNNNNNNNNNNNNNNNNNNNNNNNNNNNNNNNNNNNNNNNNNNNNNNNNNNNNNNNNNNNNNNNNNNNNNNNNNNNNNNNNNNNNNNNNNNNNNNNNNNNNNNNNNNNNNNNNNNNNNNNNNNNNNNNNNNNNNNNNNNNNNNNNNNNNNNNNNNNNNNNNNNNNNNNNNNNNNNNNNNNNNNNNNNNNNNNNNNNNNNNNNNNNNUGUCUGUUGGCCUAUUGGGCCUUCUGCGGGCCUGAAUCCUGGCCCAGGUUGGGUUUCUAGUCGUAUUCAGGCCGUGGUGGCCCAAUAGGUGGCAGUUUUUUAAAUUUUUUGCAUUAUUUAUUUUCUUUUGUUUUUUGCUUUAUUUUUUAAUUCUUUUUGCUUUUAGGUCAGCAAAAUUAUAAACUGUCUGUUAGUGCCAUUAGUUUUAUAAAACAUAUAAACUUUCUAUUAGUUCCAUUAGUUCUUUAUGAAAAUUCUUUUUGCUGUAUUUAUUUUUUUAUUUUAUUUUUUGCUAUAUUUAUUUUGUUUUAUUUCUACUUACAACAAAAAACUUAUUUAUUUUAUUUUAUUUUGUUUCUAAUUACUUAUUUAUUUUACUUUAUGAUAAUUCUUUCUGCUAUUAAAGUUUCUAUCAAAAAAAGUUCUUUAUGAAAAUUCUUUUUGCUUUUAAUGAUUAAAAAUAAAAAAGAGGCGCAACGCGCGUUGAUUUGCUUCAAGCCUUUCGGAAUAGUGUAGACUGCACUGCACAUAGCUCGAUGCAGUCUACCUUAUUCCUCAAGGCUUGAAGCUAAGCAACGUGAGCAUUGCGCCUCUUCUUCAUCGUCUCUGCACUCAGGGCUUAUAAAUCGCUCCUAGUGCCUCUCAGCUAGCGAGGUGGGACUAAAAAACUGCUUAGCUAGUAAGAAACUCUAGUACCGGUUCGUGCCACGAACAGGUACUAAAGGUGCUCGUGGGGCCACAGCCUCAUUAGUACCAGUUCGUGGCACCAACAGGGACCAAAGGGUGGAAUUGGUCCCGGUUCGUGCCACCAAUGGCAUGUUACAAAACGGACAAUCUCUUUCAAAGUAUCAGGAUUUCAUCCGGAAACUCGUCUGUUACAAAGGGAUUUCAUUUUUUUUAAACUUAUUUGAACUCCUGAAUUUUUGUGUGUUCAAAAUGCACCAUUCAAAGCCACAUCAUCAUUUGUCAAUCCUUUCUGACUUCAUUUGUUAUUUUUCAUGCAUUUACUAAUUAUUUUGAGCUAUAAGACCCUAAAAUUGAAAAGCAUUUCAAAUGAACUCUGAAAAGGUUGAAAGUUGGCAUGAUAUCAUCAUUUCAUCCACAUAGCAUGUGCAAGAACGUUGAGAGGGUUACGGCAUAAACUGGAUGCACUUCGUGUACAAAACGGACAAUCUCUUCCAGACGCAUUUUAUUUUUAUUUAUUUUACUGCUGCUAUUUUUACUUAAUUUAUUAAGGUUUAUUUAUUGUAGUUACUAUAGUUUAUUUUAUUUUAUUUUAUUAAGGUUUAUUUAGUUUUAUUUAUUUUAUUAAGGUUUAUUUAUUUUAUAAAUAUAAAAAAUGAAAAUAGAUGCGCUUAUAGAGAAAAUUCAACCUAAAUUCAUAAUAAAUAUCUAUGAAAUUUACUGUGAAUUUAGGUCAAAUUCCCUGUAUAAGGGCAUCUAUUUUCACUUUAAAAGGCAGAGAGGGACGGGCUUAUAAACUGGUGUGAGCCCCUUCGGUUGGUGAGGUGGGACUAAACACUGGCCGCAACUAGGACCAGCCCUUUAGUCCCGGUUUGUGGUAUGAACCGGGACUAAAGGGUGGUGGGCCAGGAGCGUGGCCCAUUGGUCCCGGUUUGUACCACCAACCGGGACCAAAGGGUCCAUACGAACCGGGACCAAUGCCCACGAGGCCCCGGACGGCCCCCUGGGCUCACGAACCGGGACGAAUGCUCACAUUAGUCCCGGUUCGUGACUGAACCGGGGCUAAUGUGAAAACUGCCCUGUGACCUUUGCCCCGUUUUCUACUAGUGACAUCUCAGCAUUCAAAUGGUUGCUCACAGAAAGCAAGCCGUCCCGAUUUGCACGCUUCCACCUACACACACAAAACCCUAACCCUAACAUAUACCAUAAAUACAAGUGAUGGUAUAUGAUCUCAGUACACCUCUGAAUGAGCCUUACUCAUCAUCACCAUCAACAGCACUUAGGCGCAAAUCCCACAAAGAGAAUAACAGAGAAGCCAAUAGUCAAAGAGCGCAAGAUGACCAGAAACAACAUGAGAAUCGGUAAAAGCAGAAAGAAUCACUAUAUCGGGAGCAAAUCAUGAACUGGUGGACACAAAAACUGGGACAUGUAUAAGUACAUGGCUUAGAUACACUCCCAUCUCAACACUAUAACUGAAUUUCUGGUAGAAUGACCAUGAACAUUUAUAUUUGUGAACGGAGGGAGUAACAGUUAAGAAGGGGAGCCUUGCCGCAGCGAUAAAGCUGUAGCCUUGUAACCUUGAGUUCAUGGGUUCGAGUCCUGGAAACAGCCUCUUGCAGAAAUGUAGGGAAAGGUUGCGUACUAUAGACCCAAAGCGAUCGGACGCAUGUUCUUCCUUGGUACAUGCGUGUGUGUGUGUGUUCCUGAGUUCCACCAUUGUGCGUCUGUGUGUGUGUGUUCUUGAAAAAAACCACAAGAGAGUUGAGAGAGGAGGAAGAAGAGAGGCGCUGCAAGGAGGCGGAGCCAACACCCGGACUGUUGAGGAUAUAACCAUUGGAGUCACCCGCCCAGGAGGGGCCGGGUUACCCAUAAUGGUCAUCACGCGAAGCCCAGUACCAAAUUUGAAGACGGCGGGUCAAUAAUGGGCCUAAGACCCGGAGAUGGCUUAAGGCCCGUAGUGUUAGCCGCCGUUGGGGUGAAACUUGUAGUGUAAGGCAAGAAUAGCUAAGAGUCCGAGCCGGACACUGUUAUGGGCCGGCCGGGACUCUGAGAGCCGCUGGGCGUCAACCUCUCUAUAUAAAGGGACGACCCGGCGGCGGUUUAGGGACAAGGAAGAUCAAGUCGAGAGCCGGGCAUAGCAAUUAAGCUCCCUGGUCAUCAAAACCCUAAUCAAUACCACCUCAACUGGACGUAGGCUUUUACCUUCACCGUAAGGGGCCGAACCAGUAUAACCCUCGUGUUCCUUGUCCCGUUUAACCCCUUUAAGCUUCCUAGCUGCGAUGGCUCCACGAUUAAGUCCUAACACGAGGACAUCUGCCGUGAUAAAUGCACGACAGUUGGCGCCCACCGUGGGGCUGGCGCACGGUGGAUUUGAGUUCUUGAAGGGCAGCUUCGAAGGGCUCAAGGGAUACGCGGUAGGCCGGAUGACUAAGAGUCAUCGCGGCAAGCUCUACAUCGACGAUGCAAACUGGGGCCCCGACGCCGGCUCAAUUGAGUACGGGUACCGGGUCCCCUUCGGCGGAAUUCAUGUCUUCAUUGGCAAGAUUGGUGAGCCGGGCCCUAAGCCGGAUCUCUGCGCCGAUCUCAUGGAGACGGCUCAGCGCGCACGAACCGCCCGGGCUCUGCCUGCCUUGAAGCAUGCUUUCGUGGGAUGUGUCCAUGGUGGAUUCUUUGAAGGGUCUGGAUCUGGUGAUGAGACGGCCGCCGGCUCUGGCGGCGAGUCGUCUACGGAUGAGUCAAACUCGUUGUAUCAACUUCAAGAUGGCAGGCUCAGGAGUUGUUCCGAUGGCGACAGCAUUCCGGACCCCUUUGAGCCGCCGAGCCGGGUUGGAAUCUUCAUGGCCGGCGCACAACCUGUUCAAAACCCCGCCGCCGGGUCAGGAAGCCCUGUGCCCUCGCCGGCUCAGGUGUUGAUGGAUCUCACAGACAUGAUGACAGCCUUGUUGACCGCUACGGUUGCCCCGGCGGAUCAAGUUCAGCAUGACAAGGAGGUAGCACAGUUAAAGUUGGAUCUAGCAAAAGCCAAGGAGGAUCUGGCGGCGGAAGGGAUCAGGAUGGCUGCAGAGAGGGCGGCUCUCGACGCCCAGACUCAGUUGAUCCAGGCACAGUCUUUCCAGCUCACGAUGGAUCAAAACGCGUCCAAUGAGGUCAUGAGAAGGAGGCAUCAAAAGGCCCAAUCUCGACUCCCUCCGGUUUACGAUCCUCGGAACCUCUUCAACACGCCGGGUGCAGGGUCUAGUAACCCGCCAGAGAUCAUAGUGCCCGGGGCUGGGACACCAAUUCAGCCCCAAGUGAUGGGACCUCCCCGGGUGAACCCUGCCCCGCCUCAGUACGUACCAAUACCGCCGGGUCAUUAUGCCAACCCGUUGGAAAACAUGGUCGCCGCGGCGGCGCGGCUGGCGGCUCUCCCAAUUGAUGGUGACUCUCCAACGGCGGUUGAAACCCGCCGGGUCAGAGAACUCCUUCAAACGGCUCUGGCGCAGCAAGAGGCGUAUUCUUAUAGCCGGGACAGGAUUCAUUCAACCCUCGUCCAGGCCGGAGCCCGAGUUAUAGCAGACACAUGGUCUCAGCGACCGGCUCAAGCAACGUCCGACGCCAUGGCUUGCCUCCUGGCCACGGCCCGGCUUAUCCGACGGCUCAUAACGGGGCCUUUCACGCGGCAGACCAAGACAGAGCUCGGCAAGAGGCGGAGCAGGCGCCUCAGUUGACGGCUUACCAGCCACCCCCGGCUUAUCCGACGGCUUCUAUCGAUGCGGGUAUACCUACGAGGACUGGAGGUGUCCCUUGUCUGGUGCCGGCUCUCUGCAAUGAACGUCUGCCCAAGGAUUUCAAAGGGCCUAGGAAGGUGCCUAAUUACACGGCUGAUUUACAACCCGGAGCUUGGAUCGAGAGUUACGAGAUGGCCAUGGAGUUGCUGGAGGUCAGUGAAGCGGCAAUGGACAAAUACUUCACCAUGAUGUUAGAUGGGACUGCCCGCACUUGGUUGAAAGGGCUGCCACCGAAUUCUAUCGGGUCUUGGGCUGAGCUAAAGGCCCGGUUCAUCCAAAACUUCAAAGAUACCUGUAGGCAGUCUAUGUCAAUUGUGGAUUUGACUAACUGUAAGCAGCAGGAGGGUGAGUCUACAACCCACUGGGUUCGCCGGGUCAAAGAGAUAAUACAUUCAUCUGAUAAGAUGGAUGCCGGCUCUGCAGUCUUAAUGUUAGAGCAGAAUUGUCGCUUUGCGCCCCUGAAGAUGAAACUCGGGCGGCUCAAGCGCGAUUGCAACGAUAUGGGUACGCUGAUGGCGGCUCUGGUUAAAUACGCCGACUCUGACAGUACCAAGGAUCCCGCGUCAGAUGAUGAAAGGACAGGGAAGGGAAAACGGAACGACAAUGGCAAGGGCCCCCAGCAUAACCCGGCGAACCAGGGGGGUAACAAGCGUAAGGCUGAUGGCACUAUGGAGUUUGUGGCCAAUGCCAGUUCACAAGGUAACAACCACCGGCGCAAGGGGAGACCGCCUCCCCGCCGGCGGGUCAGGCCCGACGCUUGAGCAGUUGUUGAAUGAGCCUUGUCCAAAGCAUGGCUCUAGGGAAAAGCCGGCCACUCAUAUGUGGAAAGACUGCGCAAUCAUGAAGGCCUUCAAAAAUUCCAAUACUUUCAAUGGCAAUAAUGGCCCGGGCGGCGGCUCAGGCGCCGGCGGCUUUCAUGGCUCGGGCAGCGGCUCAAGUUCCAAUCCUCAGAAUGUUCAAAGGGGCUUUAAUCAGCAGUCCGGCCAGGGUCAUCAACAGCAGCAGGGGGAUACCAGACGAAUCCGAAGCAGCUCAAUGGUGGACAGUAUCAUGUGUUUACCACCAGUCUGUGCAAGCGAGAUCAGAAGCUUCAUAAGAGGGCUGUUAACGCUGUUGAGCCGGCGGUUCCACGCUAUUUAAGAUGGUCUGAGCAGCCUAUUGUGUGGAGUAGGGAAGAUCACCCUCCCCGGGUUGAUAAUCCGGGACACCUGGCCCUGGUGGUGGAUCCUCAGGUGGGGGGAUACAAAUUCACUAAGGUGCUCAUGGAUGGAGGCAGCAGCAUCAACAUCCUCUAUUACGAGACCUUCCGUCGUAUGGGGUUGAUUGAUAAGAACCUCAGCCAGUCCAAUACUGUUUUCCAUGGUGUGGUGCCUGGUAAGUCGGCAUAUCCAGUUGGUAAGAUCGAGCUGGAAGUGGCUUUUGGAGAUGAGCACAACUACAGGGCGGAAAAAUUGACCUUUGAGGUGGUUAAGAUAAGAAGUCCGUAUCAUGCUAUAUUUGGGCGGCCGGCUUACGCCAAGUUUAUGGCACGGCCGUGUUACGUAUAUUUACAGCUCAAGAUGCCGGGUCACAAUGGGACCAUUACGGUUCAUGGCAGCCGAAAGAUAGCCCUGGAGUGUGAGGAAGGUGACGCGGCUUAUGCAAAAUCUGUUUGUGCAACAGAGGAGUUGAAGUUUUACAAGGACAACGUUGACCCGGCAGAUAUGACAUCUCUGAAAAAGCUGACCACGGAGCAUGAGCCGGCGAUGAAAUUUAAGUCAGCUGAUGAGACCAAACUUGUUGACUUUGUUCCAGGUGACUCGUCUCAGCAGUUUAGCAUCAGUGCCAAUCUGGAUCCGAAAUAGGAAAGCACGCUCGUCGAGUUCAUCCGUGAGAACAGGGACAUUUUUGCAUGGAAACCUUCUAACAUGCCAGGUGUACCUAGGGAACUCGCUGAGCACACUCUCAAUAUUGAUCCGAAACCGGUCAGGCAAUUCCUUCGGCGGUUUAAUGAGGAGAGGCGGAAAGCCAUUGGUGAGGAGGUGGCCCGGCUCUUGGCGGCCGAGUUUAUUGUCGAAGUCCUUCAUCCAGAAUGGUUAGCUAACCCGGUGUUCGUGCUCAAGAAGAAUGGCACCUGGCGGAUGUGUGGACUACACGGACUUAAACAAGGCGUGACCGGCUGAUCCUUUUGCUCUCCCCCGUAUUGAUCAAAUCAUUGAUGCUACAGCGGGUUGUGAGCGCUUAAGUUUCUUGGAUGCUUAUUCUGGAUACCAUCAGAUUAAAAUGGCAGUUAAGGACCAGGAGAAGACGGCGUUCAUCACUCCCUUUGGAGCCUUCUGUUAUGUGUCUAUGCCUUUUGGACUCAAGAGUGCACAUGCGACUUACCAGCGUUGUGUGCAGAAUUGUCUUCAUAACCAGAUUGGGCGCAAUGUUCAUGCCUAUGUGGAUGAUAUCAUGGUUAAAUCCAGGGAGAAGGAGACCCUGGUUGAUGACCUUAGAGAAACCUUUGAUAAUCUCCGGGUUUACAAGAUGAUGCUUAACCCGGCCAAGUGUGUUUUUGGUGUUCCUGCAGGCAAGCUCUUGGGUUUCCUGGUUUCUAACAGAGGCAUUGAAGCUAACCCGGAAAAAAUCAAGGCAAUCACCUCUCUGGCUAAGCCGGCGUGUAUAAACGACGUCCAGCGUCUAGCAGGCCGCAUCGCUGCUUUGAGUCGUUUUAUAAGCCGUUUGGGUGAAAAGGCCAUGCCACUGUACCAGUUGAUGAAGAAAACUGAUGAUUUUGUCUGGAAUGAUGCUGCUAAUACUGCUUUCGAGGAUUUGAAGAGACAGCUGGCUGAGCCCCCGGUUCUUGCUGCUCCGGUUGACAAGGAGCCCUUAUUACUGUAUGUAGCUGCUAACGCAUGAGCCGUCAGUGUGGCUGUGGUGGUGGAGCGCAAGGAAGAGGGUAAGGAGUACCCGGUUCAGCGGCCGGUUUACUACGUCAGUGAAGUGCUCAUUGAGUAUAAACAGCGGUAUCCACAUUGGCAGAAGCUUGUUUAUGGUGUGUUCAUGGCAAGCCGGAAGCUUAAGCAUUAUUUCCAGGGUCACCCCAUCACUGUGGUUAGUUUCGCUCCCCUUGGAGAUAUCAUCCAAAACAGAGAAGCUACAGGAAGAGUGGCUAAGUGGGCUAUAGAGCUUGGGCCUCAUGGUCUGAAAUACGUACCAUGCACUGCUGUCAAAUCUCAAGCAUUGGUGGAUUUCAUCAAUGAUUGGACAGAGCUACAGGUGCCGGAAGAAAAGCCGGAUAAUACAUAUUGGACUAUUCACUUCGAUGGGUCCAGGCAAUUGGAGGGCUCGGGGGCUGGAGUUGUAUUAGCUUCCCCUCGAGGUGACAAGUUUUGCUACGUGCUACGGUUGAUGUUUCCCUGUACUAACAAUGCAGCUGAGUACGAGGCCUUGCUCCAUGGUCUUCGGAUGGCUAAGGAGAUGAGUUUGAGCCGGGUGAGGUGCUUUGGCAACUCAGAUUUAGUGGCCCAACAAGUGUCAGGCAAGUGGGAUUCCAAGGACCCUCUCAUGGCGGCUUAUCGCCGUGAAGUUGAUGCCAUUGCUGGACACUUUCAGGGUUACCAAGUAGAGCACAUCGAUCGCAGGAAGAACGAGGCGGCUGAUGCACUAAGUCGGCUGGGCUCUCAGCGAAAGCCGGUGCCGCCUAAUACUUUCUUAGACAUCUUGCAUAACCCUCUGUUAAGUUACCUACAGAGGAAGACUUGGCUGUCCCUGACCCGGAGGCACAGUUGGUGGCGGCUCUUCACAUCACCCCAGACUGGACAAUACCAUAUUUGGCUUACAUGACCCGGGGAGAGUUGCCUGAGGAUGAAACUUUGGCCAGACAAAUAACCCGGUGUCACGACCGGUUUUUCAAUAAAAAUAUUUAUUGAGAGACCAAUCCCUUUUAUGGACCAGUAAAGAAGAAUUCCUUCUCACUGGUAGACAAUAUCUUGGUCACAGAAGAAAAUACCAGGAGUACUGAAUAUAAUACAAGGUUGAGCGGGGACUGCUCAACAAUUUAUUACAAACACGCCGACAAAACAUAACGGCGGAUAGGGUGGCAUGACUACUAACUCACGAUAACAACGGUGGUGGAAAUAUCACAGCGGAGUAGGUGAUAUGACUCCUGAAAACUACAGCUCUUCGAGCGUCGGAGUGAGGCUCGAGGAGACUUAUUGCGGGUGGCGGAAGCGUGUAUAAUACAAGUGACCAAAAUCCGGGAUCGCACAGGACUGACUGGGAGUCAUCUAGGCGUCGGACGCACUAUCAAACUCUUCAUCCAAGAGAUCGACUUCGUCAACAUCUGGCCAAAUCAACAAGCCAGGUGAGUACUAUGAAAGUACUCGCAAGACAGUUUGGACAUAAGAUAUAACAAAUGUAAACAUGAAGCAUAUGAACAGAUUUUCCAGUGCGUUCAGACAUAGAGAUAAUAAAUACUGGGUGCCAAACGAGGGUCUGAAUGACUCCUCGAGAGGAAACUGCAAGAAUAGUAAUACUGGUGCCAAACGAGUGUCUGAAUGACUCCUCGAGAGGAAACUGCAAGAAUAGUAAUACUGGUGCCAAACGAGUGUCUGAAUGACUCCUCAAGAGGAAACUGCAAGAAUAGUAAUACUGGUGCCAAACGAGUGUCUGAAUGACUCCUCGAGAGGAAACUGCAAGAAUAGUAAUACUGGUGCCAAACGAGUGUCUGAAUGACUCCUCGAGAGGAAACUGCAAGAAUAGUAAUACUGGUGCCAAACGAGUGUCUGAAUGACUCCUCGAGAGGAAACUGCAAGAAUAGUAAUGCCGCAGUCGGGCGUCAGGGCGACACCACAUAAAGGGCUUAUAAAAGAAAAUAAAAGACGAACAUGCCACAGUCAGNNNNNNNNNNGAACAGAUUUUCCAGUGCGUUCAGACAUAGAGAUAAUAAAUACUGGGUGCCAAACGAGGGUCUGAAUGACUCCUCGAGAGGAAACUGCAAGAAUAGUAAUACUGGUGCCAAACGAGUGUCUGAAUGACUCCUCGAGAGGAAACUGCAAGAAUAGUAAUACUGGUGCCAAACGAGUGUCUGAAUGACUCCUCGAGAGGAAACUGCAAGAAUAGUAAUACUGGUGCCAAACGAGUGUCUGAAUGACUCCUCGAGAGGAAACUGCAAGAAUAAUAAUACUGGUGCCAAACGAGUGUCUGAAUGACUCCUCGAGAGGAAACUGCAAGAAUAAUAAUGCCGCAGUCGGGCGUCAGGGCGACACCACAUAAAGGGCUUAUAACAGAAAAUAAAAGACAAACAUGGCACAGUCGGACGUCUGAGCGACAUCACAUAAAGGGCUUAUAUUGUGGCUCAAUAAUUCAGUAACUUGAGAACAUAAAUUAUUACAAGCACGAGACAAAUAUAAGGUUAGUCCAUCCGCAGGAAUAACAAUUAAACUGGGUUUACCACUUGAGCUUGUUCACCGGGGGUAGAAAUUCCACGAGGAUAGAUAUGGAUAUACUGGUUACUCUAAUUGAUCAUGGGGACUAACAAUUAAACGGAAGGAUUUGACUCUGCAGAGUUUGUACUUAACCACAGCCAACGGAUUUCAGUAGUCACGGGACUAGUUCCGUUUACGGUGUUUUGGAAGAAACACGUCUAACCAGUACACACCCAUUCAACAUUCCGAAGCCAGGGAUCACCCUCGGCAAUGUUCAAGAAAAACCUUGAGACGGGGAGGCUACAACCUCGCGUAGCAUGGGAUCAAAUUUCUAUACGCGCUCUCUAAGGGGGUGCCCCCCCUCUCGGUCCCAACCGGAAACACCCAUGCCCCCUGACCGGAUGACUGGCUUUAAUCCUGGGCCAAGGUACCAUCAUCCCGGCCCCUCUGUUUGGUGUGUACACGGAAAGAGGUUACCAACUUACUAAACCGCAUCCUGGCAAAUGAAACAUGUGGCAGCACGGAGAGGAAAAGAACGAUAACGUGACUCCGUCCACGUUAACGUCGGAAUUUGUCAGAUGACGGAGGCUGGUAUGCUACAACAGUACCACCUUGCUGCCCUUCAUGUCACCACAUGAUUAGGCCAUCUCUCACCAGAGAUCAUCGUGACUUUGGAACAUGCGGGUUGCCUCACAAGCAAUGAGGUACUCACUGACACUCAUAAGCCACGCACAAACUUUCACGCAAACAUGCAAAACACCCAUCAUAUCAAAGGUUCAAACAUGCUUGCCUGGUUCGGAGAAGUCGGAGUCUAGUUCGGCGAAGUUCGCGGCUCCGUCACCUCCUCCAGAACCUACGGCAAUAACGAAAACGGGCACUAACGUGAAAACCAACGUGUGCAUAAAAACUUCUCCAAAUUUUUUCCAAAUAAAUCCCAUAAAAAACUAGACAAAAUUUUAAGAUUGUCAGAAAAAGAAUCACUCAAAAAUCCCUUUUUAUUAAAAAUUUAUAAAGGUUUCUGUCCAGGGACUCAUCUGUAAUGAAACAGAAAAGUUCCAGGGUUUAAACUGAGAAAACAAAAAACGCUUCGAAUAGAAAUGCGCAAGCCCACAGAGAAAACGUAUUUGCCUGAAGGCGCCAACAGAAAACGUUUCGCGAGGGGAAACAGAAGAGAGGCUGACAGGGGGGUCCCACAUGUCAGGUUUAAACCUCGCCGGCGCCCGAGGGCUGCGGUGGUCGCCGGCGUCGAACCACGGCGAGACAGGGAGAUCGGAGUGUACCAAGAGCUUCAGCGUGUCCUUCCGCGUCGGUGGGUGGUGGACUCGACCGACGGAGAGCACCACGUCGACGGCGACACUUUCUCCGGCGGACGGCGGUUCGGGUGAUGGUGGAGAACUCCGGUGGUGAGCUGCAAACUCCGAAUUGACGCGCGGGUCAGAAGAGUGGAUGCAUAAGGGAGCUACUGGCAAGAGAUGGGAGGCAGAGGCGCACGCACGGGAGCGAAUCGAGCUGGAUCCCGUGGCGGGUCGCGGCGGCCGGAGUCGAGGAAGGAGACCUCCUCGGGGUUCUUCCAGUGGCUUGGCGUGCUCUAGGUGGAGUGCAGGGGUGGGGUGGGUUCGAGUUGAAGCCCGGGGCUUCUAUUUAUAGGCGGAUCGAGGGGGUGGCCGUGAACGGAGAAUCUCCGGCGAGCAAUUACGGCGAUGCAGUGGUCGAGCAGGGGGUUUGAGUGGCCAGGCAGCAUCAGUGGAAGUUACUGGUGUCGUUCCCCCGCUAAUCCCGGCUGGUCUUGGCGUAACGGCGCCGGUCCACGGUGGGGUGGCCGCACGGGCACGUCGGCGGCAGAGAGCGCACUCCGCGCCCAGCGGUUCACGACGAGAGUGGCAGCGCGUUCUGGGGAGUGGAAGGCCACACGGCGACCUCCGGUGGCUUGGGCGGCACUGGGUGGCGCCGUCAGCGCCGCGCCUCUCUCUGGCGGCUGCAAAGCCGCCGCUGGCGUCGGUCACGGGGCGGCGCACCUCCUGCUGCUCGUCGCCGACGUCCGCAAGGUGUCAGGGGAUCGUGCGGUGCAGAGGACAAGGAGGAAAGCGCAGGGCGCACGGCGACACCGCGGCACUGGCGAGAUCGACGUCGGGUUCUGAAGAAAACGACAGUGGGCACUGAACUGUUCUCUGAAUUUUCUGAACCUGAUUUUGACAAUGCCCUGCAGGUGUUCGACAGAAUGAUUAGGCAAGCAGAAAAAUUUUCCUGGGGCUGGGACUUGGUGAGGUGACCACUCAAUGCACCCAGAGGCUGCCUGAUUUUACUCAGAAUUUUUGGAGAAGGAUUUGAAUGAAUUUCAUCAAAUUUGACAAAUCUGGUCCAAACUUGCAGCAAGUGUAGUUUGAAAAAUUUGAACUGAAGACCAGUGGAUCUUCAUGGUUCUUGGUUGAGGGUUCAAAGGACUAGGAAGGGAAAAAGGUUUGGGGGCAAAAGUCAAAGCAGAAAGAGUAGUUCCUUUGUAAACCUCCAAGGGCUAGAAUAGAGGACAAAAAUUGUUUUGAUAAGAUUUAAAUGGAAAAUAAUUAUAUGGGGAGGUUCAGCUUGCUGGUUUUGAUGCAAAUCAUGAUCCAAAGAUGAGGGAAGGUUUAGGAGAGUGGAUUUGUACUAAGGCCAUGGCAAGAGAGAAUUGUUGAAAGUGGCAAAGGAUUAUUCCAAAAGCUAUAGAGUAUUUUCAAAGAAAUUUUCAAAAGACAUUUUUCUCAAGUGAAAAGCAUUUUGGUUUGAGUCCAAAUAAAAAGCAAGGACCUCCAAGACCAAAAACAAGUCUUGGGUGAAUCCAAAUAAAACUCUUGCCAUAAAAAAAAUAUUUUGAGAGGGAGGGUUCUUUUGAAGAAAAAUUUAAAUCACCUCCCUCAAGUCAAAUUUUUUUUUUGAAAAAUCCAAAUAAAAUUUUGGGUGUCACACCCGGCGGUAUAAGUCAAUGAUAGUUAUCAAUGGUGAGCUACAUCGCCGCAGUGUCACCGGAACUUUCCAGCGUUGUGUUUCCCCUGAGGAAGGCCAAGAUAUUUUGCGUGAGAUUCAUGAGGGGAUUGUGGCCAUCAUGCCGGCUCAAAAUCUCUUGUGGCCAAGGCUUUUCGUCAUGGUUUUUAUUGGCUGACGGCUCAUGCUGAUGCGGAAGACUUGGUCAGUAAAUGUGAUGGUUGUCAGAGGUUCUCUCGACGGGCUCAUGUGCCGGCUCAGGAGCUGAGGAUGAUCCCAAUUACUUGGCCAUUUGCGGUCUGGGGGCUUGAUAUGGUUGGGCCUUUUAAAAGGUCCAAGGAUAAGAAGACCCACCUCUUGGUGGCAGUUGACAAGUUCACAAAGUGGGUUGAGGCAGAGCCAGUUAGCAAGUGUGACGCAGCCACAGCGGUUCAGUUCAUGAAAAAGGUGAUAUUUCGCUUUGGUUUCCCACACAACAUUAUAACUGACGAUGGUACCAAUCUGUCUAAGGGCGCCAUGGAGGAGUUUUGUCAACGAGAGCAUAUUCGACUUGAUGUUUCGUCAGUGGCUCAUCCUCAAUCCAAUGGUCAAGCUGAGAGAGCUAAUCAGGAGAUCUUGAAGGGUAUUAAGCCCCGGCUUUUGGUCCCUUUGCAACGGACGCCGGGUUGUUGGGUGGAGGAGUUACCCUCCGUGUUAUGGAGCAUCAAUACUACUCCUAACAGGUCUACGGGUUACACGCCUUUCUUUAUGGUUUAUGGAGCGGAAGCAGUCCUCCCUAGUGACAUCCGUCAUGACUCACCUCGAGUGGCGGCUUAUGUUGAGGCGGAUAAUGAACGGGCGCGCCAAGAUGCUCUGGACUUGUUGGACGAACAGCGUGAUGUCGCAGCAGCUCGCUCGGCGAUUUACCAACAAGACCUGCGCCGUUAUCACAGCCGCCGGGUUAAGUCCCGGGUCUUCCAGGAAGGUGAUCUGGUGCUCCGGCUUGUCCAAGACCAAACAGAUGCACACAAAUUAUCCCCGCCUUGGGAAGGGCCCUUUGUGGUCAGCAAGAACUUGCACAACGGGUCAUACUACCUUAUCGAUGUUCGGGAGCACAAAGAUUCACGCAAGUCGGAGGAAGAGACCCGUCGGCCGUGGAACAUAGCUCAGCUUCGGCCUCAUUACACUUGAGCCACCGGCUCUCAUAGUGUACAUAUUUCUAUAGCCAUGUAUAUAUUAUGAUAAAUAAUAAAGCAGGACCUCUGUCCUUUUCUCCUCCAAAGGUAAACGUGUUAUUAUCAUUACAACAUCACAUGGUCACUUGGAGGUGGAUCCGGCUUAUGAUCGUAUUCGAAUCUAGCCGUAAACAAUAUGAUCACAUGGGGGCUUCCUGUUCAAACAUAGGUCGCACUCGAACCAAAGAGAACAUAGUUGUCGAUACCCACUUGAUUGGCAAAUUGCCGAGCUCAUUGGGGAGUUUUCUUUGAUCAUAUUUGAAUCAUAGCUCAACCCCCUUUGGGAACCGAUGUGGAUCGUAUUUGAAUCAGCGUCGUUAAACAACUCUUAAGGUCAUUUGGGGGCUUCCUGUUCAAACAUGGGUCGUAUUCGAACCAAAGAGAACAUAGCUGUCGGUACCCUCUUGAUCGGCAUCGCCAAAGCCAUUGGGGGCUAUAUGAUCGCAUUCGACUCUUAGCUUAACCCCUUUGGGACGGGUCUCUGGUCGUAUUUGAACCAGAAGCCCCUAAGUUUUGAUCUUCUGACUUACAACAAGCUCUUUUGGUCAUGUCAACAGUGUGCAAGGACGGCUUUUACUUCGCCGGCUUAAUUUUGAUUCACAACGUUGAUAACACAUAGUAAGUAUUCUUGAUGCUGGUAAACCGGAGUUGAGAUCUUCAACUCAUUAUUCGGGUUACAUAAACCGGAAGUAUACUUGAAGGCUUGUAAGUAUGCUAUUAUGGUUACAUCAAAAAAUAUAAUUGAGGGCCAGUCUUUGGUGACUUUUGUUCAUACUCCGGGUUAUAUAUAUAAGGUCUAUGAUUCUCAGUGCGGUAAGCCGCCUGGAGACUUGUGACUUGUUUUCUAUGCAGGAUGGUUAAAGACAGCUGUUCGAACUUAAGGAAAAUAAACUGAUCGAUUAUAACCCGGAGGAAUAAGCAGAAGCAGCUUCAAUGGAGUUAAGCAUUCAACACGUGCACGAUGGCACGACAAAAUUAAGUGUUUGUCCUACUCUAUUACAAGACUCCCCGAGUCCAAAAGGUGAGGCAUUGUUUUAAGGUGCAACCAUGAGCCGCCUAAAAGUCAAGAUGCUUGUUGAGUUGAAGCUUCCGGCUCAUCCCUCUCCGCUCCUCCGGCUGAUUCCAUGACCUGGAAGGUUGACGAUUUCCAGUCAAUGCCGUUCAAGGCUUCAAAUUGAGCCUCGUCGUCAAUUAACCCGGCCGGGUCAACUUCUGGGGCAAAGGUAUGCUUACGAGUCGGAGGGAUCAAGCUGAUGGCUUCAUAACAUGGAGUGGGGAUCCUCUGAUUCUCCGCGUCAUAGCCCGGCUGGUACUUGGUAAGAUCUGUGUCGUUUCCAAUCAUGGUAGCCACCGGGCGCACGCUCUUCACACAGGCGGCGAAGUCUUUCUGGUCAAAGGGAGUGUCGUCUUCCUUCAGGCUGGGGUAUGCAAGAGCAAUGUCGGCCGGGUCUAGCUCCGGGAGAAAAGCCUUGGCCCGGCUCAGUGCAGCUAUAGCUCCGGCUCUUGCAGAGGCCCGUCUUAGCUCUUGGAAGCGCUGAGGAAGAACGGCAAGCCGCCUGAGUACAUCCGCCAGGUGAGUCGGAACCUCGUUGGACAGGGCCACAACGGCUAACGCACGCUGUGACCCGGUAUAGAGUUGCUCCACCAAGGUAUACACGGCCUUCAGCUUGGUCAGAACAUUCUGGUUCAAGUUGAAGCUUCUGGGACCUAUUUAACAAAGUCAGGUAAGCCGGUGGCAGUAGUGAGACUUAUGAGACAUAAAGAAUGAAAACUUGUUAAAGGCUUGCAGAAUGACUUACCGAAGAUUGCGGCGACCAUCUGUGACACAUGGCGCUUUAAGCCGGAGAGUUCGGCGGUUCUCUCCGUCAGAGCAGCCUCUGCUUUUUCGGCCCGGCUCAGCAAGACGGUUUUCUCCUCGGCCCAAGUUUUUCUCUCUGUUUCAAAUUUCUUCUUCAGUUUUUCCUGUUCAGCAACACUGAACUCGAAUUUAGCAUUGGCCUUCCGGGUCUCAGUUUCCUGAGUAUUCAGGCGGUUCUUCAGCUUCAAAUUUUUUGCAGACAGCCUGUACAAAUUCCGGGUUAUAGUAUGAGUAAUUUUUAUGUAACAUUCAAAGUCCCAAGCACUUUGCACGCAAAGACACUUGGCACUUGGGGGCUAAUGUAUGCUGAAAGGUUCUAUUUAUAGUGCCGGUUCAUGAAAGUAAGUCCCAAGUACUUUGCAGGCAAAUGUACUUGGCACUUGGGGGCUAAUGUGUAACGUUGCUCAACUACUUGAUGAAAGUAAGGAAAGAGCCGGGUCAACUAUGCUGUUUAAGCCGGCCCUCGAGUGUUACCAGUCAUAGACUUGGGGGCUGGCAUGGUAAAGAUAACUAUGGAAUAAGCAAGAGAGUCAUACCUCAGAUUUUUGCUGUAUCUGCUUCACCAUAUCAAUCUCCAAGUCCCGGUUGCUGUGCACGUGACCAAUGUAACCAGAAACAAUGUCUCCAAUACUCAAGUUAGCAUAGUCAGUAAUCUCCAGUCUAGCCUUGCGGCGCUCCAGCGCUUCUUCUUUGGCAGAGCAUCUGGCCAGCGCAGUGGGUCUUCCCGGCUCAACGUAUUCAGUCCGGGUAAUCACCACAUCCGGAUCAUCGGCCGAUUGAGCUGAGCUGGGAAUCUCCGGGUUGUCGGAACCCGCCAUGGUUUGUUCUUCAGUUGAGGCGGCGGUGUCCGGAGCUGGUGAAGAUGGCGGCCCGGGAGCAGAAGCUUCUGGUUCAAUCAAUACCGACUCUUCGACCGGGUGAUUCUUCUUCGCUCUCUUGCUGAGCUUUGCUUAAGCACUGAAAGGACAAAAGGUUAGUACAAAAGCAUGAGUAAAGAUAAGCACAACAUAAGAUGAUCAUCAUUACCCAGGUGCGGUCUUGAAAGCCGGCAAGUUAGAUUGCAUAGAGUCACCAGAGGAAGGUGAAGUUUCCUGAUAGUUUGAAUCGGAAGAAUUGAGUGGUUGGCGAAUGAUGCCCGCCAAAUGAUGAAAAGGAUAUAAGUUGGAGAUAACCUCGGUCCGGCGCUUCCUUGAUGCUUCAGGUAAGCCAGAGGAGAGGUCUGCAUCCUUGGUGGCCCGGGUUUGUCUCCGGCUCUCAUGAAUCUGUUGCUUCAAAAGAAAUUGAGGAUCUUGAUAAGCUAAAGGAUGUGAAAAUCUUACUUUCCGGGUUACUCUUCGGACUUUCAGCCUUGGCAAGGGCUCCGAGUCGGAGGAAAUGAUCAGUGUCAAUAAGAUGGUUACUCGCUCCGGUAUCAUCCUGCUAAUGAUCAGUGUCAAUAAGAUGGUUACAAACAGACGAAAAAACAAAAGAAGAGUCUAAAGAAACAAGGGCUACCUCUGACUCGGAGCUAUCAUCCAGCUGAAGCAGCUCUGAGGCGCUAGGCUUACUCCCCUUCUUGCGGGGAGCGGCUCUCCUGGCGGCUUUCUUAGCCUUCCUGGCUUUUUUGGCAGCUCCAUGGUCAUACUUGACCUUCCAGAACGCAUCAUUAGCCUGAAAAAUACGACAAAGAUUUCUUAAGGUUCAGGUGAAAACUAUUAAAAGGGAAAGCAAGGUGCUCAGGUCAGCGGCUUACCGCUGGAGCCGGGUUAGCUUGGCAGAAGGGGCUUAAGCCGGUCCUCCCACAGUCGGCUAAGCUCUCAUUCAGGAGAGACUUGGUCAUGUCGUCCACGACAUCCUCAGGAAGAUCGUGGGAGCUGUGCCGCAAAGGGUCAUCCUUUCGGCCCGUGUAAUCACACAUUAAGCCGGGGCGGCGGCUCAGAGGAAUCACCCGCCAAGAAAUCCAGACCCGGACCAGAUCAAUGCCGUUAAGGCCAUUUCCCAGAAGAGCCUUAAUCUUGUUGAUGGUAGGGAUAAGUGGCUGACGUUCCGCUUGAGUUAGUUUGUCUGGCAGGGGGUGAGUUGGCUCCAGACGCAGGGCACAAAAGCCAGGCAGAGGGCUCUCAUCAGCCGGAGAAGUGUCUUGGCAGUAGAACCAUGUCUGGUUCCAAUCCUUUGGGUGGCUUGGCGGCUCAGCGUAAGGGAAAAGACAAUCUCUCCGUCGUUGAAUAGAGAUUCCGCCAAGCUCCAAGCUAGGCCCGUUGGCGCACUCAUUCUGGCGGUUCUGAUAAAACAAUUCCCUAAACAGCAGUAGGCUGGGCUCUUCUCCAAGAUAUACUUCGCAGAAUACUUGAAAGUUGCAAAUAUUUGACACGGAAUUGGGUCCUAUGUCUUGCGGUCGCAGAUCGAAGAAGUUCAAAAAAUCUCUAAAGAAUUUUGAGCCGGGAGGUGCGAAGCUCCGACUCAUGUGAUCAGCAAAUAUUACCACCUCGCCAUCUCUAGGUUGAGGUCUUUCCUCUGACGGGUCAGGGGCACAGUAAGACAUGACCUCCUUCUUGGGCAGGUAACCCGUCUUCACAAAGUCAGCUAGAGUGUCAUCAGUAACAUUGGAUCUCAUCCAGUAGCACGUGAUGGGUGCCUUGGGAGCCUUGGGUGGCAUUGUGAAAGACGAAAGCCUAUGACAAAAGGAAAUGUCCGGUUCAACUAUAAGCCGGAGGAAGUUUAUAGUUCAAUAUUCAAGAUGGCGGCUUAUGAAGGGGCCUAAUGAUAUAUCGCUAAUUCUUUCGGGUUAUCUAAGCCGCUGUGGGCAUCGUGAGUAAUUCAAGUUGUCUAAAACUUUAUCAUAAAUGAGCCGGAAAUUUUACAGCGUGUGGCCUCUUUUAAGCCGGAGAUGUGAGCCGCCAUAGCUAAACAGAUGCAAUUUUUGGCUAAGUGUGCCACAAACAAGUUUCACAGAUCGCAGUAAUUAUUUUGGAUCAAAUGAUUGACUGGAAAGAAAAUAUUUCUAGACCUAGAAGCUGAUACAGAGAAGUUCAUGAGCUCUAAAGAGAUCUCUUUGCAAGUAAAGGGGACAUGCUACUAUUGAAAAUGGGUGCGAAACCACAACCGCAUGAGUUCUAUACAUUCUCUGGAUCUAAAGGGGCCGUGAAGAAGAAACUGUGAAGAACUGCGAAGAACAGCAAGAACCCUAAUGCGGAUCUAUUCUAUGGAGUGGCAAGGGCUUACGGAUGCUGAUGAGUCGCGGAGGUCGCCGCCGUUUCUCUGGACAGGUCAGGGUGAUGCAGCGGCCUGAGUUGGUGAAAACGAGGAGACCCGCGGCGGCGGCGGUGGAGCUCGAGCGGCAGCACAGUAGCGAGAGGAGGAAGAUGGAGGCGACGAGUGAAGGAAGACUCAUGGGCCGGGCUUAUUUAUAAGGUGUGGUUAAUAAGUGGGUGCGAGAAACGAGGAGGCCACGGCGUGAUUAUCUCGCCACAGAAGCGCCUCGAUUUCCGGGAUGGCCAUUAAAGAAGAAAUCCGUUGGGGAUAUGACAGAAUAAAAAAUUAACUUAAUGGAAGAUGAUGUCACAGCGGUUACCCGGAAUCCAGAAGAUGACGUCACGGCGGGUUAUAGCCUUCACACAAAUGUAAGCCGGAAGAUUUUCUAUCAAAGGAAUUGAAAGAUUGACAUGAGCCGGCUCAAAUCAAUCUGGGGCCUAAUGUUGAGGAUAUAACCAUUGGAGUCACCCGCCCAGGAGGGGCCGGGUUACCCAUAAUGGUCAUCACGCCAAGCCCAGUACCAAACUUAAAGACGGCGGGUCAAUAAUGGGCCUAAGACCCAGAGAUGGCUUAAGGCCCGUAGUGUUAGCCGCCGUUGGGGUGAAACUUGUAGUGUAAGGCAAGAAUAGCUAAGAGUCCGAGCCGGACACUGUUAUGGGCCGGCCGGGACUCUGAGAGCCGCUGGACGUCAACCUCUCUAUAUAAAGGGACGACCCGGCGACGGUUUAGGGACAAGGAAGAUCAAGUCGAGAGCCGAGCAUAGCAAUUAAGCUCCCUGAUCAUCGAAACCCUAAUCAAUACCACCUUAACUGGACGUAGACUUUUACCUUCACCGUAAGGGGCCGAACCAGUAUAACCCUCGUGUUUCUUGUCCCGUUUAACCCCUUUAAGCUUCCUAGCUGCGAUGGCUCCACGAUUAAGUCCUAACACGAGGACAUUUGCCGUGAUAAAUCCACGACACGGACCCUGCGCAAGCAGGAGCUACGUGCACCGGGCUGCCCUUUAGGGAGUAAUAGUUAGCCCGGGCUGCCCUUUAGGGAGUAAUAGUUAGCCGCUAAACUGGUUACUUGCUGUGACACAAGCCAUCCUAGUUUAGCACCAAGUAAAUCAAUUCACGUGUUAGAUAGAAGCUCUCACAGGGAGGUUAUAUCAUCACAGCCAUUCAUGAACAUGACACACAAAAACAGUAAUCUUGACAGCUGAACUUGCCCUAUACAACCCUUAAGCUGAAACCAAUAAAGUAGUAAAGAGAAACCAAAAGUACAAACUGAUAAGUAGAUAAAGAGUACAAUAGAAGAAUGAAAUUAUCAAGUCAAAUAGCAAUUGAAACAAGCAAACUGACCCAACACCAAAUAAGAUAGUUUCAAAACCAUCCAAGGGACAUCAGAAUUAUCAUAGCCAUUCAAGAAAAAGGAAGAACAGAAAAGGAAAAACAAAACAGAAGACAAGAAUUAAGUGUGGCUGGAGUACUGUUCCUAAAACAACAGAACUGGUUGACAUACUGCAAAACCAACAAAAUGGGUAGGAAAAUAACCGAAAAUACAAACUUGCAAAACAGUCCUUUGCAUCC
This 36551-nucleotide long non-coding RNA is filed under the name Triticum aestivum (bread wheat). RNAcentral's name for it is "long non-coding RNA (TAES_LNC018524)". Lineage: Eukaryota; Viridiplantae; Streptophyta; Magnoliopsida; Poales; Poaceae. The record is from RNAcentral.